GCCGGGGUAGCUCAAUCGGUAGAGCGUGUGGCUCUUAGUUCACUAGGAGUAUGUUCUAUCCUUAGAACAGUAACCUCAAGGUCGCGGGUUCGAGCCCCGCCUUCGGCU
RNAcentral lists this transfer RNA (108 nucleotides) under Piedraia hortae CBS 480.64. It matches the Rfam family "tRNA". From Rfam's summary of the family: Transfer RNA (tRNA) molecules are approximately 80 nucleotides in length. Their secondary structure includes four short double-helical elements and three loops (D, anti-codon, and T loops). Further hydrogen bonds mediate the characteristic L-shaped molecular structure. tRNAs have two regions of fundamental functional importance: the anti-codon, which is responsible for specific mRNA codon recognition, and the 3' end, to which the tRNAs corresponding amino acid is attached (by aminoacyl-tRNA synthetases). tRNAs cope with the degeneracy of the genetic code in two manners: having more than one tRNA (with a specific anti-codon) for a particular amino acid; and 'wobble' base-pairing, i.e. permitting non-standard base-pairing at the 3rd anti-codon position. Lineage: Eukaryota; Fungi; Ascomycota; Dothideomycetes; Capnodiales; Piedraiaceae. The record is from Rfam by way of RNAcentral.